AUCCGUCUCACUUGACGCAUGUCCAUUGUGCGUGUGCUAACUUUCUCUCAUGCCGCACAGAUAGACUACUACUGUAUUUUUAGCAUUUUUCUUUCACGUCAUAUUUGGUGUCAAAUGCUGAUACUAUGUGGGAAUGAUAAAGCGCUUGUCUUCAUGAGGCUCACCUGGACUGGUCACCAGCCAAUCACAGGACGCCAAGGCCCGCAGGAAACAUAUCUCAUCCACCAUAAGUGAGUAUUAUUUAUAAAUAGUUGAUAAUACAGGUCAAAUGUACCAUUGUUUAAAAAAGACCACAAUUUUCACACAUUUAUGUCUUUAUGCUUCACUGAUUAAGUUUUGUCCUCAAGCUUCUGUUGUGCAGUCCUUGAACUCACCAUAGUUGCUGUAAGUAGCAAAAGUGAUACUCAUACACUCACCCUUCGAUGAUGGCGGUUAAUUGGUUCCGGACCUGAGAGUGAUACGAUAUUUUUAUCAUCUUCUACAUACGGUUUUUGACAUUAUUAGACCCCUUUGCACAUAAAAUAACACCUCUAUAGUCACCUUUACCCUCGUAUAACCCAAUAUAGUAGACUUCAUCAGAGAAAAUAAGCCACUUAAGACAUAAAUAAGACCCGUGCUUGUGUGUGUUGCAAUAAAUGUCUUACAGACAUGUGGACACAAAGUGACCUCGGGUGUCCUGAGUUGAGUUUUAGCUGGACUGUGUCCACAACGGCAGCCCGUGAUAUUACUUGGAUUAUUCGCCGGGAGAAGCGUUUGUGCAGAUUUCUCAUAAACAUUCAAGAUGGACGCUGAUGCGAACAAAGCGUUUCUUUGCUUCGCUUUCGAUCACACAAGCUGGAAGGAAGAUCCUGCGCUCCACUUUUAAAAACAGACUUCACCGCGAGCAUACGCUUAUCGCUUGUUAUGAUUUAAAACACUGUUUAUUGUUCUGGUGUUUUUGAUAGGGAAAAAAACAACUUAAAACAACUAUUACUGUAGAAUUUUAGCUAGUUAGCCAGCACAACGCAGAUCUAGGGUAUCCAAAGUGCGGCCUGAGGGCCAUUUGCGGCUGGCAGCCCAUUGUAGACAUAAAAUUAAACCAAAAAAAUGCAAAAAUGUGGAAAAUACAGCAAAAAGGCAUAGUGUAACGAGAGAAGGUUAACGCUAAUAACUAAUAAUAACACAAAGCUUUGUCUUUAAAUAUAUUUUUUAUACUUUUUUUUUGCCUGUUUACAAUAAAAAAAUACAUCUUUCAAAAUAUCUAAGUGACCUUCCACAAGCUGUUAUUUUUGUCUGAAUAAAGUUUGGACACCCCUGGUGUAGAAACAUUUGCCAUUUGUUGCUAGGCAAGGUUCACUGAGGCUCCAGGACAACUGGCCCGAAUGCUGCUUUCAAGUUUGCUGGGAAGAAAAAAACAACAAGUAGUCUUAGUCAUCAUGUUUAUAAUAUUCCCAUGUUAUUAUCAUAUUAUAAUGUAUAAUAUUAAAAAAAAAUGUAAUUGUAUUACACAAAA
This is a long non-coding RNA of Dunckerocampus dactyliophorus (ringed pipefish), 1492 nucleotides long. RefSeq lists it as uncharacterized. The record is from RefSeq and is a predicted model, not a curated record. The transcript is spliced from 4 exons. NCBI's taxonomy places the organism in Eukaryota, Metazoa, Chordata, Actinopteri, Syngnathiformes, Syngnathidae.